Molecule: long non-coding RNA, 213 nt
Filed under: Lathyrus oleraceus (garden pea)
Lineage: Eukaryota; Viridiplantae; Streptophyta; Magnoliopsida; Fabales; Fabaceae
Description: Pisum sativum (pea) long non-coding RNA (PSAT_LNC001695)
Source: RNAcentral
AGGGAAUAGGUGGGGGUAAGGUGGGAAGUCACUUAUUAGAGAGAUUAGAGCUCUAAUAAGAAGAAGUUAGUAAGAAUUUGGAGAAUUAGUACGUGAAAAAUAUAAUUUUGGUGGAAGAAGGCAAGAGGUAAAUGCUAAGGCAUUGGAAGAACAUCCAUUGAAAGAGCUUAUGGAGUUUUGCUGGAAAAUCUAAGGUAAAAGGAGAUUACUCAU